This 203-nucleotide long non-coding RNA is filed under the name Lathyrus oleraceus (garden pea). RNAcentral describes it as "Pisum sativum (pea) long non-coding RNA (PSAT_LNC020592)". Lineage: Eukaryota; Viridiplantae; Streptophyta; Magnoliopsida; Fabales; Fabaceae. The record is from RNAcentral.
CAUAGGGCGCUGAUACAGAGCGAUGUAGCGCUCUCUCUGAGCAUUAUCUCUAUAGGCCACGUGCAUAUCAUCGAAAUCCUGCAUCCUGUAAAAGUUAAGAAAGUGAUCCUGAAAAUGCAAACCAUUCAAAUUUUUAGUCUCGAUGCAAAAUAAAAAUAAAAUAAAAUAAAAUAAAAUAAAAUAAAAUAAAAUAAAUGCGAAAA